AACGAACGCUGGCGGCAUGCUUAACACAUGCAAGUCGAACGGAUUUAUGGAGCUUGCUUCAUAAGUUAGUGGCAGACGGGUGAGUAACGCGUGGGAAUGUACCUUUUGGUUCGGAAUAACUGCGGGAAACUGUGGCUAAUACCGGAUAAGCCCGUGAGGGGAAAGAUUUAUCGCCAAAAGAGAAGCCCGCGUUAGAUUAGGUAGUUGGUGGGGUAAUGGACGACCAAGCCUGCGAUCUAUAGCUGGUCUGAGAGGAUGAUCAGCCACACUGGGACUGAGACACGGACCAGACUCCUACGGGAGGCAGCAGUGGGGAAUAUUGGACAAUGGGGGAAACCCAGAUCCAGCAAUGCCGCGUGAGUGAUGAAGGCCUUCGGGUUGUAAAGCUCUUUUGUCAGGGACGAUGAUGACGGUACCUGACGAAUAAGCUCCGGCUAACUUCGUGCCAGCAGCCGCGGUAA
RNAcentral lists this ribosomal RNA (461 nucleotides) under uncultured bacterium. RNAcentral's name for it is "partial 16S ribosomal RNA". It matches the Rfam family "Bacterial small subunit ribosomal RNA", at positions 29 to 523 of the family's 1533-position model. The record is from RNAcentral.